This 334-nucleotide unclassified non-coding RNA is filed under the name soil metagenome. RNAcentral's name for it is "partial contains 5.8S ribosomal RNA, internal transcribed spacer 2, and large subunit ribosomal RNA". The stretch from base 1 to 120 matches the Rfam family "5.8S ribosomal RNA", at positions 35 to 154 of the family's 154-position model. The record is from RNAcentral.
GAUGAAGAACGUAGCGAAAUGCGAUAAGUAAUGUGAAUUGCAGAAUUCAGUGAAUCAUCGAAUCUUUGAACGCACAUUGCGCCCGCCAGUAUUCUGGCGGGCAUGCCUGUUCGAGCGUCAUUUCAACCAUCAAGCCCCAGGCUUGUGUUGGAGCCCUGCGGCUGCCGCAGCCUCCCAAAACCAGUGGCGGGCUCGCUAUCACACCGAGUGCAGUAGUUUACUCUUCGCUCAGGGCGUGUGGCGGGUGCUAGCCGUGAAACCCCCAACUUCUCAAGGUUGACCUCGGAUCAGGUAGGAAUACCCGGUGAACUUAAGCAUAUCAAUAAGCGGAGGA